GAUGAACGCUGGCGGCGUGCCUAAUACAUGCAAGUCGAGCGAACAGACGAGGAGCUUGCUCCUCUGACGUUAGCGGCGGACGGGUGAGUAACACGUGGAUAACCUACCUAUAAGACUGGGAUAACUUCGGGAAACCGGAGCUAAUACCGGAUAAUAUAUUGAACCGCAUGGUUCAAUAGUGAAAGACGGUUUUGCUGUAACAUAUAGAUGGAUCCGCGCCGCAUUAGCUAGUUGGUAAGGUAACGGCUUACCAAGGCAAAGAUGCGUAGCCGCCCUGAGAGGGUGGUCAGCGACACUGUACCUGAGUCUCUGUCCAGACUCCUACGGGAGGCAUAAGGAGGGAAUCUUCCGUAAUGCGCGAAAGCUUGACGCAGCAACCGCGCGGGAAUGAUGAAGGUCUUCGGAUCGUAAAACUCGGUUAUUAGGGAAGAACAAAUGUGAAAGUAACUAUGCACAUCUUUACGGUACCUAAUCAGAAAGCCACGGCUAACUACGUG
This 497-nucleotide ribosomal RNA is filed under the name uncultured bacterium. Its description in RNAcentral is "partial 16S ribosomal RNA". It matches the Rfam family "Bacterial small subunit ribosomal RNA", at positions 28 to 507 of the family's 1533-position model. The record is from RNAcentral.